This 337-nucleotide unclassified non-coding RNA is filed under the name soil metagenome. RNAcentral's name for it is "partial contains 5.8S ribosomal RNA, internal transcribed spacer 2, and large subunit ribosomal RNA". The stretch from base 1 to 120 matches the Rfam family "5.8S ribosomal RNA", at positions 35 to 154 of the family's 154-position model. The record is from RNAcentral.
GAUGAAGAACGUAGCGAAAUGCGAUAAGUAAUGCGAAUUGCAGAUUUCAGUGAGUCAUCGAAUCUUUGAACGCUCAUUGCGGCCGCCAGUAUUCUGGCGGGCAUGCCUGUUCGAGCGUCAUUUCAACCAUCAAGCCCCCGGGCUUGCGUUGGGGCCCUGCGGCUGCCGCAGGCCCCGAAAAGCAGUGGCGGGCUCGCUGUCACACCGAGCGCAGUAGCGAUUCUCGCUCCGGGCGUCGGCGGCGGGCACCGGCCGUGAAACCCCCCCACAUCCACAAGGUUGACCUCGGAUCAGGUAGGAAUACCCGCUGAACUUAAGCAUAUCAAUAAGCGGAGGA